RNAcentral lists this long non-coding RNA (227 nucleotides) under Homo sapiens (human). RNAcentral's name for it is "HSALNT0308184". Lineage: Eukaryota; Metazoa; Chordata; Mammalia; Primates; Hominidae. The record is from RNAcentral.
AAGCUCCCCCACUGAGCACCUUGCGACCCCCACUCCUGCCCACCAGAGAACAAACCCCCUUUGACUGUAAUUUUCCUUUACCUGCCCAAAUCUUACAAAAUGGCCCCACCCCUAUCUCCCUUCGCUGACUCUCUUUUCGGACUCAGCCCACCUGCACCCAGGUGAAAUAAACAGCCAUGUUGCUCACAAAAAAAAAAAAAAAAAGAAAUGCACUUGUACACAUGUGU